AUUGGAUUGGAUCUAUUUUAAUUAGACUCUUAUCCAACUUGAAAGUGUUUCAAGUGUGGAAGGAGACCUCCACACCCACUAAGUUUCACAUCCAAAAAUAAAUGCAGCCCAUCUUUAUUUACGUUGAGAAGUGGAAGAGUCCUUCUUCAUGAAGACUCUUAUCCAUCUCCUCAUUUUUCCUCCAAUUUCUUAAUUAUCACAUGCAAAUUUUAACUUGGAAUUUAUGGGGUACAGAAGAGGA
RNAcentral lists this long non-coding RNA (241 nucleotides) under Elaeis guineensis (African oil palm). RNAcentral's name for it is "long non-coding RNA (EGUI_LNC012462)". The record is from RNAcentral. Lineage: Eukaryota; Viridiplantae; Streptophyta; Magnoliopsida; Arecales; Arecaceae.